Molecule: unclassified non-coding RNA, 316 nt
Filed under: uncultured Sordariomycetes
Lineage: Eukaryota; Fungi; Ascomycota; Sordariomycetes
Description: sequence contains ITS1
Rfam family: 5.8S ribosomal RNA (bases 1-105)
Source: RNAcentral
GAAAUGCGAUAAGUAAUGUGAAUUGCAGAAUUCAGCGAAUCAUCGAAUCUUUGAACGCACAUUGCGCCCAUUAGUAUUCUAGUGGGCAUGCCUGUUCGAGCGUCAUUUCAACCCUCAGUCUCUCUCGGGACUGGUGUUGGGGCCCUUGCCGUCGGGCAAGCCCUGAAAAACAGUGGCGGGCCCGCUGGGACUCCGAGCGCAGUAGUUUACACCUCGCUAAGGAGCGCCCGGCGGGCGACACCAGCCGUUAAAUGCGCUGGAAAACAGCACUCCAAAGGUUGACCUCGGAUCAGGUAGGAAUACCCGCUGAACUUAA